ACUCCUACGGGAGGCAGCAGUGGGGAAUAUUGCACAAUGGGGGAAACCCUGAUGCAGCCAUGCCGCGUGUGUGAAGAAGGCCUUCGGGUUGUAAAGCACUUUCAGUAGGGAGGAAGGUAGUGUAGUUAACACCUGCAUAUUGAUCGUAUCCUACAGAAGAAGCACCGGCUAACUCCGUGCCAGCAGCCGCGGUAAUACGGAGGGUGCGAGCGUUAAUCGGAAUUACUGGGCGUAAAGCGCAUGCAGGCGGCCUGUUAAGUCAGAUGUGAAAGCCCGGGGCUUAACCUCGGAAUUGCAUUUGAAAACUGGCAGUCGUAUGAGUCUUGUAGAGGGGGGUAGAAUUUCAGGUGUAGCGGUGAAAUGCGUAGAGAUCUGAAGGAAUACCAGUGGCGAAGGCGGCCCCCUGGACAAAGACUGACGCUCAGAUGCGAAAGCGUGGGGAGCAAACAGGAUUAGAUACCCUGGUAGCGUCGUCU
Molecule: ribosomal RNA, 476 nt
Filed under: uncultured bacterium
Lineage: Bacteria
Description: bacterial SSU rRNA
Rfam family: Bacterial small subunit ribosomal RNA
Source: RNAcentral